UACGUAGGGUGCAAGCGUUGUCCGGAAUUAUUGGGCGUAAAGAGCUCGUAGGCGGUCUGUCGCGUCGGCUGUGAAAACCCGAGGCUCAACCUCGGGCCUGCAGUCGAUACGGGCAAACUAGAGUACUGCAGGGGAGACUGGAAUUCCUGGUGUAGCGGUGAAAUGCGCAGAUAUCAGGAGGAAUACCGGUGGCGAAAGCGACUCUCUGGACGGCAACUGACGCUGAGGCGCGAAAGCGUGGGGAGCAAACAGG
Molecule: ribosomal RNA, 253 nt
Filed under: uncultured bacterium
Lineage: Bacteria
Description: partial 16S ribosomal RNA
Rfam family: Bacterial small subunit ribosomal RNA
Source: RNAcentral